This 162-nucleotide ribosomal RNA is filed under the name Larix kaempferi. Its description in RNAcentral is "5.8S ribosomal RNA". It matches the Rfam family "5.8S ribosomal RNA". From Rfam's summary of the family: 5.8S ribosomal RNA (5.8S rRNA) is a component of the large subunit of the eukaryotic ribosome. It is transcribed by RNA polymerase I as part of the 45S precursor that also contains 18S and 28S rRNA. Lineage: Eukaryota; Viridiplantae; Streptophyta; Pinopsida; Pinales; Pinaceae. The record is from RNAcentral.
GAAAUGACUCUUGGAAAUGGAUAUCUCGGCUCUCAUUAUGAUGAAGAAUGUAGCGAAAUGCAAUACUUAGUGUGAAUUGCAGAAUCCCGUGAAUCAUCGGGUUUUUGAACGCAAUUUGCGCCCAAGACCUCGAUCGAGGGCACAUCUGUCUAGGCAUCGCAU